RNAcentral lists this ribosomal RNA (253 nucleotides) under uncultured bacterium. Its description in RNAcentral is "partial 16S ribosomal RNA". It matches the Rfam family "Bacterial small subunit ribosomal RNA", at positions 524 to 776 of the family's 1533-position model. The record is from RNAcentral.
UACGUACUGUGCGAACGUUAUUCGGAAUCACUGGGCUUAAAGGGUGCGUAGGCGGCCAAUUAAGUAGGGUGUGAAAUCCCCCGGCUCAACCGGGGAAUUGCGCUCUAAACUGAUUGGCUUGAGUGAGAUAGGGGUGUGCGGAACUUCCAGUGGAGCGGUGAAAUGUGUUGAUAUUGGAAGGAACGCCGGUAGCGAAAGCGGCACACUGGGUCUCAACUGACGCUGAGGCACGAAAGCCAGGGUAGCGAACGGG